Molecule: ribosomal RNA, 252 nt
Filed under: uncultured bacterium
Lineage: Bacteria
Description: partial 16S ribosomal RNA
Rfam family: Bacterial small subunit ribosomal RNA
Source: RNAcentral
CCAAAAGCUGGCGACCGGCGCACGGGUGAGUAACACGUAUCCAACCUGCCUCAUACUCGGGGAUAGCCUUUCGAAAGAAAGAUUAAUAUCCGAUAGCAUAUAUUUCCCGCAUGGGUUUUAUAUUAAAGAAAUUCGGUAUGAGAUGGGGAUGCGUUCCAUUAGUUUGUUGGGGGGGUAACGGCCCACCAAGACUACGAUGGAUAGGGGUUCUGAGAGGAAGGUCCCCCACACUGGGACUGAGACACGGCCCAG